RNAcentral lists this long non-coding RNA (981 nucleotides) under Ananas comosus (pineapple). RNAcentral's name for it is "long non-coding RNA (ACOM_LNC038777)". Lineage: Eukaryota; Viridiplantae; Streptophyta; Magnoliopsida; Poales; Bromeliaceae. The record is from RNAcentral.
UGCAACUAGUACUUUUUAUCAUUCUAUCGAACAAAGAGUAAAACCUAAUUAAAUUGUUCUAUUAUGCCCCGAGAGUGUAAAUUUAGAACGAAUCGCUGUCAACGUUCACAGGAACAAAAACCGGAACAACAUGAGAGUACUGAGUUGCGCCAUAAUAGUAUAACAUUGCAACGAGUACUUUUUCUCAUUCUAUCGAAUAAGGAGUAAAAGUUUUCUAUUAUGCCCCGAGAGAGUAAAUUUAGAACGAAAUGACGUCAACGUUCACAAGAACCAAAACCGAAACAACGUUAGACUACUCAGUUGAGCCCACAUAUUAUAAUUUUGCAACUAGUACGUUUUCUCAUUCAAUCGAUCAUAGAGCAAAACCUAAUUAUAUUGUUCUAUUUUGCCCCGAGAGUGUAAAUUUGAAACGAAUCGUUGUCAACGUUCACAAGAAUCAAAACCUGAACAACGUUAGUCUACUCAGUGGAGCCCUAACGGUAUAACAUUGCAACUAGUACUUUUUCUCAUUCAAUCGAACAAAGAGUAAAACCUAAUUAUAUUGUUCUAUUAUGGCCCAAGAGUGUAAAUUUGGAACGAAUCGAUGUCAACUUUCGCAAGACCAAAAGCGGAACAACAUUAGACAACUCAGUUUCGACCUAACAGUAUAACGUUGCAACAAGUAGUUUUUCUCAUUCUAUCGAACAAAGAGUAAAACCUAAUUAAAUUGUUCUAUUAUACCCCGAGAGUGUAAAUUUGGAACGAAUCGAUGUCAAUAUUCCCAAGAACCAAAACCGGAACAACAUUAGACUACUCAGUUGCUCCAUGACAGUAUAACUUUGCAACGAGUACUUUUUCUCAUUCUAUCAUACAAGGAGUAAAAGCUCUCUAUUAUGCCCCGAGAGUGUAAAUUUGGAAGGAAUCGAUGUCAACGUACACAAGAACCAAAACAGGAACGAGGUUAGACUUCUCAGUUGAGCCCUAACUGUAUAACUUUGCAAC